GUGCCCGUAGCUUAAUUGGAUAGAGCGCGACCUUGCGGAGGUUGAAGUUGGGCGUUCGACUCGCCCCGGGCACA
Molecule: transfer RNA, 74 nt
Filed under: Candidatus Woesebacteria bacterium GWA1_42_12
Lineage: Bacteria; Candidatus Woeseibacteriota
Description: tRNA-Arg
Source: RNAcentral